This 460-nucleotide ribosomal RNA is filed under the name uncultured bacterium. RNAcentral's name for it is "partial 16S ribosomal RNA". It matches the Rfam family "Bacterial small subunit ribosomal RNA", at positions 338 to 795 of the family's 1533-position model. The record is from RNAcentral.
CCUACGGGAGGCAGCAGUGAGGAAUAUUGGUCAAUGGACGCAAGUCUGAACCAGCCAAGUCGCGUGCAGGAUGACGGCUCUAUGAGUUGUAAACUGCUUUUGUAUGAGGGUAAACUCUGACACGUGUAGCGGGUUGAAAGUACCGUACGAAUAAGGAUCGGCUAACUCCGUGCCAGCAGCCGCGGUAAUACGGAGGAUCCGAGCGUUAUCCGGAUUUAUUGGGUUUAAAGGGUGCGUAGGUGGUUUGAUAAGUCAGUGGUGAAAUUUCGGGGCUCAACCCCAAAACUGCCGUUGAAACUGGUGGUCUAGAGAAUAGUUGCGGUAGGCGGAAUGUGUGGUGUAGCGGUGAAAUGCUUAGAGAUCAUGCAGAACACCGAUUGCGAAGGCAGCUUACCGAACUGUAACUGACGUUGAGGCACGAAAGCGUGGGUAGCAAACAGGAUUAGAUACCCGGGUAGUC